This 73-nucleotide transfer RNA is filed under the name Cordylochernes scorpioides. RNAcentral describes it as "tRNA-Thr". It matches the Rfam family "tRNA". From Rfam's summary of the family: Transfer RNA (tRNA) molecules are approximately 80 nucleotides in length. Their secondary structure includes four short double-helical elements and three loops (D, anti-codon, and T loops). Lineage: Eukaryota; Metazoa; Arthropoda; Arachnida; Pseudoscorpiones; Chernetidae. The record is from RNAcentral.
UCCAGGGUAGCCUAGUGGACAUGGCACCUGCCCGGUAAGCAGAUGGUUGUGGGUUCGAUUCCCGCCCCUGGAC